GGCUUAACACAUGCAAGUCGAGGGGUAGCAGGGAGCUUGCUCCGCUGACGACCGGCGAACGGGUGCGUAACGCGUAUAGAAUCUACCUCUUACUAAGGGAUAGCCCAGAGAAAUUUGGAUUAAUAUCUUAUAGUAUACAGACCUGGCAUCAGGAUUGUAUUAAAGGUUACGGUAAGAGAUGACUAUGCGUCCUAUUAGCUAGAUGGUGUGGUAACGGCACACCAUGGCUACGAUAGGUAGGGGCCCUGAGAGGGGGAUCCCCCACACUGGUACUGAGACACGGACCAGACUCCUACGGGAGGCAGCAGUGAGGAAUAUUGGACAAUGGAGGCAACUCUGAUCCAGCCAUGCCGCGUGCAGGAAGACUGCCCUAUGGGUUGUAAACUGCUUUUAUACAGGAAGAAACACUCUCACGUGUGAGAGCUUGACGGUACUGUAAGAAUAAGGAUCGGCUAACUCCGUGCCAGCAGCCGCGGUAAUACGGAGGAUCCAAGCGUUAUCCGGAAUCAUUGGGUUUAAAGGGUCCGUAGGUGGAUGAUUAAGUCAGAGGUGAAAUCCUGCAGCUCAACUGUAGAAUUGCCUUUGAUACUGGUUGUCUUGAGUUAUUAUGAAGUAGUUAGAAUAUGUAGUGUAGCGGUGAAAUGCAUAGAUAUUACAUAGAAUACCAAUUGCGAAGGCAGAUUACUAAUAAUAUACUGACACUGAUGGACGAAAGCGUGGGGAGCGAACAGGAUUAGAUACCCUGGUAGUCCACGCCGUAAACGAUGGUCACUAGCUGUUCGGACUUCGGUUUGAGUGGCUAAGCGAAAGUGAUAAGUGACC
Molecule: ribosomal RNA, 822 nt
Filed under: Flavobacteriaceae bacterium ACEMC 15-3
Lineage: Bacteria; Pseudomonadati; Bacteroidota; Flavobacteriia; Flavobacteriales; Flavobacteriaceae
Description: bacterial SSU rRNA
Rfam family: Bacterial small subunit ribosomal RNA
Source: RNAcentral